GGUGAGUUGCAAGGUCUGAGUGUUUGAGACUCGCGGUUAAAUUUAAUUUAACUCAGAUGCUGUAAUAAGAUACUUGGUACAAGCUCUGUACUAGAGAUGAAGUAAUCUCACGAUACAAUUUGAACUGUAAAUCUUGAAUAAAGAUUUGUUUUCCUGCAUGCGCAAUUGAUCAUGUACGUUUCAAGAUAAGUAGAAAUUGAAAUUUUGAGAUGUAGAUCUAUAUGUAUACAUAUAUUGAUAUAUUUUGAACUAUUAAUGUUGAUAAGGAACAAAUAAUCCAAGUCAUUUCUAUGAAGCUAAAAAGGGGUAAAUUAAUUAUUAAUUUAAAGGAGCCAUGUUAAUGUGAUCGUUUAUGAGAGUUAGUUUAUCUGACAAAAAGGAGUAUUCUGACUUACGUCAUGGGCUGAAAUAGCGCCAUCUACGCUUUCCUAAUUCCGACAUAGCAGUAGCAACGAAUUGGAUGUUCGCACCGAAAUCUUGUCCUAAAUUACACCUGUUAUUGAUACGAAGCCAACCCGUUUGCAACAAUAAGGAGGCAAGAAGUUUUCACGGAGCAAGUGUGAUGGAAUUAGUUGACAUAGAAUAAAUUAGCAAGUCAACCCUACUACGACUUUUCAUUGACUGUUUCUUCAC
Long non-coding RNA from Strongylocentrotus purpuratus (purple sea urchin), 633 nucleotides. RefSeq lists it as uncharacterized. The record is from RefSeq and is a predicted model, not a curated record. The transcript has 2 exons. Lineage: Eukaryota; Metazoa; Echinodermata; Echinoidea; Camarodonta; Strongylocentrotidae.